UUUUGAAUAUCAUAUCAAAAAUUGACCGCUCCAGCGGGGUUCGAACCCGCGCCUCCGACAUACCGUGUCGGCGCUCUAGCCAAUUAAGCUAUGGAACGAUGCACCCGCUCGAGCGAAAUUUUCGAUAUGAUAAUUUUUAAUUUCGGUUUAAGCGAACCGUGGCGCCGUCUAUAGUGAGCUCUUUACAGAAGCCCGUAACUAUUCAAAGUUUCAUAUUACAAUGAAAAUCUUUGACAGGAGACGACACCGUGCUAUUUUUAAUAUCUAAGAUUUUUUUUUUUUUUUUUUUUUUUUUUUUUUUUUUUUUUUUUUUUUUUUUUUUUUUUUUUUUUUUUUUUUUUCCAUCUUAAAUUUUUUUUAUUGAUACAGAAUUAAAAAAAUAGACAAAACACACUUCUACAACAAUGAAAUUAAAUAAGUAAUAUAAAAAUUAAAUUA
RNAcentral lists this unclassified non-coding RNA (438 nucleotides) under Melitaea cinxia (Glanville fritillary). RNAcentral's name for it is "misc RNA ENSMCXG00005005800.1". The record is from RNAcentral. Lineage: Eukaryota; Metazoa; Arthropoda; Insecta; Lepidoptera; Nymphalidae.